GUGCUCGCUUCGGCAGCACAAAGACUAGCACUGGAACGAUACAGAGAAGAUUCACAUGGUCCCUGCCAUGGAUGACAUGCAAAUUCAUGAAGUGUUCCAUAUUUUU
Small nuclear RNA from Echinops telfairi (small Madagascar hedgehog), 106 nucleotides. The record is from Ensembl. NCBI's taxonomy places the organism in Eukaryota, Metazoa, Chordata, Mammalia, Afrosoricida, Tenrecidae.